AUUCCAGCUCCAAUAGCGUAUAUUAAAGUUGUUGCGGUUAAAAAGCUCGUAGUUGGAUUUCUGCCGAGGAUGACCGGUCCGCCCUGUGGGUGUGCAUCUGGCUCAGCCUUGGCAUCUUCCUGAAGAACGUAGCUGCACUUGACUGUGUGGUGCGGUAUUUAGGACAUUUACUUUGAGGAAAUUAGAGUGUUUCAAGCAAGCGCACGCUUUGAAUACAUUAGCAUGGAAUAAUAAGAUAGGACCUUGGUCUAUUUUGUUGGUUUGCAUUCCAAGGUAAUGAUUAAUAGGGAUAGUUGGGGGUAUUCGUAUUCAAUUGUCAGAGGUGAAAUUCUUGGAUUUAUGGAAGACGAACUACUGCGAAAGCAUUUACCAAGGAUGUUUUCAUUA
This 387-nucleotide ribosomal RNA is filed under the name Dinophyceae sp. RNAcentral's name for it is "partial small subunit ribosomal RNA". It matches the Rfam family "Eukaryotic small subunit ribosomal RNA", at positions 582 to 975 of the family's 1831-position model. Lineage: Eukaryota; Dinophyceae. The record is from RNAcentral.